UACGUAGGGCGCAAGCGUUUAUCCGGAAUUAUUGGGCGUAAAGAGCUCGUAGGCGGUUUGUCGCGUCUGCCGUGAAAGUCCGGGGCUCAACUCCGGAUCUGCGGUGGGUACGGGCAGACUAGAGUGGAUGUAGGGGAGACUGGAAUUCCUGGUGUAGCGGUGAAAUGCGCAGAUAUCAGGAGGAACACCGAUGGCGAAGGCAGGUCUCUGGGCAUUAACUGACGCUGGAGGAGCGAAAAGCAUGGGGAGCGAACAGG
Molecule: ribosomal RNA, 257 nt
Filed under: uncultured bacterium
Lineage: Bacteria
Description: partial 16S ribosomal RNA
Rfam family: Bacterial small subunit ribosomal RNA
Source: RNAcentral